GCAGUGUUAGUUCAGCGGUGAAAUUCUUGCCUUCCAACCUGGAAACCUGGGUUUGAUUCCCAGUCAAUGUG
RNAcentral lists this transfer RNA (71 nucleotides) under Loxodonta africana (African savanna elephant). It matches the Rfam family "tRNA". Rfam says of the family: Transfer RNA (tRNA) molecules are approximately 80 nucleotides in length. Their secondary structure includes four short double-helical elements and three loops (D, anti-codon, and T loops). Further hydrogen bonds mediate the characteristic L-shaped molecular structure. tRNAs have two regions of fundamental functional importance: the anti-codon, which is responsible for specific mRNA codon recognition, and the 3' end, to which the tRNAs corresponding amino acid is attached (by aminoacyl-tRNA synthetases). tRNAs cope with the degeneracy of the genetic code in two manners: having more than one tRNA (with a specific anti-codon) for a particular amino acid; and 'wobble' base-pairing, i.e. permitting non-standard base-pairing at the 3rd anti-codon position. Lineage: Eukaryota; Metazoa; Chordata; Mammalia; Proboscidea; Elephantidae. The record is from Rfam by way of RNAcentral.